GCUGGAUUGUUACACCAAUGAAAUAUCAGGAAGUAGCUAUCAACAUGGGCAAGGGAGGAUGAGGUAAAGAAAACUAAGACGAUCUACUUGAAAGUGGAGAGGGACUAAGAUCACUAGAAAGCAGCAUGCUGCCAGACCAUCACAGGAGGUUACAGUGGAUUAUGUGCGUAUUACUGCACAGUUGGAGCUAUCAACGUAAGCAUUUUGCUGCACCUGCUAAUCUGUGUACACGACCAAUACACUUUGAAUWGAAGUACUAUUUUAUUGUGAAAAUCUCAUAGCAUGCAUUUGCUCUACUGUUUAUAUUGUUGUUGGUGGCUCAUUCAAUCAUUGAUGGUAUAAACUUUUAAAGAAGUGCGGCUUAAAGGUUGUGAUGGUAAGUUGAUACGCUGAAUUGUGUGUUUUUAUUGCUGGACAGGAUCAAUAGUCUGUAGCUCUCCAGGAGAGAGAGAAACGUAGCUGAAAAUGGUAGUUCUGUUUUAUGCAUGAAAUGCUGCACCCUUCUGGUAGUUGUGGAGAAUGCACAAUGUAUUUUACAUUUUUGUGGAAAAAGUCGAGGGUCUGAAUACUUUCUGUAGGCA
This is a long non-coding RNA of Salvelinus sp. IW2-2015, 581 nucleotides long. RefSeq lists it as uncharacterized. The record is from RefSeq and is a predicted model, not a curated record. NCBI's taxonomy places the organism in Eukaryota, Metazoa, Chordata, Actinopteri, Salmoniformes, Salmonidae.